ACUUUUCAGGUAAAUUAAUAUUAAUACAAAUUGGGAUUUUUGAAAACUGCUUCUGAGGAGUGACCGCAAGAUAGGUCUUGGACCUCUUGGUUUGAUUGGGUAAUUAAAAGGUUAAGAAAUCCACUCUAAAUGAACAGCAAUAAUUGAACGUACGGAGUAAUUGAAUCAGCCAAUGACCAUGCCAUUUUUAUGAACCCCGUUUCUUGGGAAUUCCCAAACAUAAAUAUAUCUAUUCUCCUACCUGGGUGGCAGCCAUGUGGCUUGCACAUGGAGUUCUUAGUUACUUCGAAAAGUGUAUAAGAUCACUAAUUGAAGUAGCUAAAAAAAAGGCUAAAAACAGAUUACUAUUAAGGAAAGAAGGAAAUAAUUCGAAAGUUCAACUUCACAACAUCACUUAACCUGCUUGUUAGUUAGCAUUGGGCUGUCACAAACUCCAACAACAAUCCGCUCCCUUGCCAGCUCCGCCGAUGCCUACUAUUUUACUCAUCAUCAAAACAAAUUUUCCAAAAACCUUUUAAAGUUGAAUUUCCAUUCCUCGAGCGAGUUUGGAACCUAAGAAGAGAGAGAAAAGGAGAGAGAGUAAUACCUUGAGGAAAAGGCGAUGGCCGUCGUGUAAACGAUCGAAGGUGCCACCAAGAACCACCGCUCCGUAGGUAUUUGACGGUGAUAUCUUGGGAUUGACCAUGGAAUCGUCUAGCAACGCCAUUUAAUAGGAAUUAGAAGCUGUGAUUAGUAGCAGAAGUAAAAGUCGAGGGAGAAAGAGAAACAGAGGCGUCUUUGUAUACGAAGAACACAAAACCAAACGGCAAAUGGCAAAUAUAUAUAAAUUUUAUGGUUAUUUUUGUUUAAAUAAAUUUGUAUAGAUUUGUGUAGGUACAACGAACCUGGACAUUUUCUGAUGUUG
This 904-nucleotide unclassified non-coding RNA is filed under the name Hevea brasiliensis (rubber tree). The record is from RNAcentral. Lineage: Eukaryota; Viridiplantae; Streptophyta; Magnoliopsida; Malpighiales; Euphorbiaceae.